ACUGAUUGAUCCUGUCAGCAGUAUUUGCUUGUUCAGAAGACUAAGCCAUGCAUGUAUAAGUUCACACCUUAAUACGGUGAAACCGCGAAUGGCUCAUUAAAUCAGCUAUUAUUUAUUAGAUCUUACAAGAUUACUUGGAUAACUGUAGUAAUUCUAGAGCUAAUACAUGAAUAUGUGCUUUGGUUCACGCCAAAUGCGAAUUUAUUAGAUCAAAACCAACCGGUUUCGGCCGUUAAAUUGGUGACUCUGGAUAACUAUUCUGAUCGCAUGACCUUGUGUCGGCGACGUAUCUUUCAAGUGUCUGCCCUAUCAACUUAAGUUGGUGAGUUAGUUGCUCACCAUGGUUAUAACGGGUAACGGAGAAUCAGUGUUCGAUACCGGAGAGGGAGCCUUAGAAACGGCUACCACAUCUAAGGAGGCAGCAGGCGCGCAAAUUACCCACUCUCAGAACGAGGAGGUAGUGAAUUUAAAUAGCGAUGAUGAACUCUUAUGAGGCUCGUCAAUCGAAAUGAGUACAAUUUAAAUCCUUUAACGAGUACCAAUUGGAGGGCAAGUCUGGUGCCAGCAGCCGCGGUAAUUCCAGCUCCAAUAGCGAAUAUUAGAUUUGUUGCAGUUAAAAAGCUCGUAGUUGGAUCCAAGGUUAGGCAUGCCUGUCUGUUCUUAGUAGCAUGACUGUGUGUGUCUGCCUUUAUUAGUUGAAUGUUCAUUAUGGUGGUCCUCAUCGACUGCUAUGAUGUGCUCAACACGUUUACCUUGAAAAAAUCAGAGCGAUCAAGGCAGGCCUUCGUGCUUGUAUGUUGUUGCAAGGAAUAAUAGAAUAGGACUUCGGUUCUAUUUUGUUGGUUUUGAGAAUUGAAGUAAUGAACAAUAGAGACAGUCGGGGGCAUUUGUAUGGUGGCGUUAGAGGUGAAAUUCUGAGAUCGUCGCCAGACAAACUACUGCGAAAGCAUUUGCCAAGGAUGUCUUCAUUAAUCAAGAACGAAAGUCAGAGGUUCGAAGACGAUCAGAUACCGUCCUAGUUCUGACCAUAAACGAUGCCGACCUACAAUCGGGGGUGGUUUAUUAUAUUGACCCUCCCGGCUGUCCUCAGGAAACUUUAAGUUGGUUCUGGGGGGAAUAUGGUCUCAAGACUGAAACUUAAAGGAAUUGACGGAAGGGCACCACCAGGAGUGGAGCCUGCGGCUUAAUUUGACCCAACACGGGGAAUCUCACCCGGUCCGGACACUGGUAGGAUGGACAGAUUGAUAGCUCUUUCUUGAUUCAGUGGGUGGUGGUGCAUGGCCGUUCUUAGUUGGUGGAGUGAUUUGUCUGGUUAAUUCCGAUAACGAACGAGACUCUGUCCUGCUAAAUAGUCCAGUGGCAUCAAUCACUAUGUGAUUACAGCUGCUGUUACUUCUUAGAGGGAUUCGCGG
Molecule: ribosomal RNA, 1412 nt
Filed under: metagenome
Description: SSU rRNA
Rfam family: Eukaryotic small subunit ribosomal RNA
Source: RNAcentral